GUCCUCGUCGUCCAAUGGAUAGGACACAAGCCUCCGAAGUUUGAGAUCCGAGUUCGACUCUCGGCGAGGACACAA
RNAcentral lists this transfer RNA (75 nucleotides) under Candidatus Giovannonibacteria bacterium RIFCSPLOWO2_01_FULL_46_13. Its description in RNAcentral is "tRNA-Arg". It matches the Rfam family "tRNA". Rfam says of the family: Transfer RNA (tRNA) molecules are approximately 80 nucleotides in length. Their secondary structure includes four short double-helical elements and three loops (D, anti-codon, and T loops). Further hydrogen bonds mediate the characteristic L-shaped molecular structure. tRNAs have two regions of fundamental functional importance: the anti-codon, which is responsible for specific mRNA codon recognition, and the 3' end, to which the tRNAs corresponding amino acid is attached (by aminoacyl-tRNA synthetases). tRNAs cope with the degeneracy of the genetic code in two manners: having more than one tRNA (with a specific anti-codon) for a particular amino acid; and 'wobble' base-pairing, i.e. permitting non-standard base-pairing at the 3rd anti-codon position. Lineage: Bacteria; Candidatus Giovannoniibacteriota. The record is from RNAcentral.